Molecule: non-coding RNA, 19 nt
Filed under: Arabidopsis thaliana (thale cress)
Lineage: Eukaryota; Viridiplantae; Streptophyta; Magnoliopsida; Brassicales; Brassicaceae
Source: RNAcentral
CAGUGGAAAUGGUGGAAUA